Molecule: ribosomal RNA, 253 nt
Filed under: uncultured bacterium
Lineage: Bacteria
Description: partial 16S ribosomal RNA
Rfam family: Bacterial small subunit ribosomal RNA
Source: RNAcentral
UACAGAGGUCUCAAGCGUUGUUCGGAAUCACUGGGCGUAAAGGGUGCGUAGGCGGCGGAGUAAGUCGGGUGUGAAAUUUGAGGGCUCAACCUUCAACUUGCACCUGAUACUACUUUGCUCGAGUCCUGAAGAGGAGCUUGGAAUUCUCGGUGUAGCAGUGAAAUGCGUAGAUUUCGAGAAGAACGCUCGCAGCGAAAGCGAAGCUCUGGUCAGGCACUGACGCUGAGGCACGAAGGCUAGGGGAGCAAACGGG